Molecule: ribosomal RNA, 26 nt
Filed under: Mucor fragilis
Lineage: Eukaryota; Fungi; Mucoromycota; Mucoromycetes; Mucorales; Mucoraceae
Also listed under: 2 other names
Description: partial 28S ribosomal RNA
Source: RNAcentral
AUUUGAUCUGAAAUCAGGUGGGAUUA